Molecule: ribosomal RNA, 253 nt
Filed under: uncultured bacterium
Lineage: Bacteria
Description: partial 16S ribosomal RNA
Rfam family: Bacterial small subunit ribosomal RNA
Source: RNAcentral
UACGGAGGGUGCAAACGUUGCUCGGAAUCAUUGGGCGUAAAGCGCACGUAGGCGGUCCGUUAUGUCGGGUGCGAAAGCCCUCGGCUUAACCGAGGAAGUGCAUUCGAAACUGGCGGACUUGAGUACCGGAGGGGGUCGCGGAAUUCCCGGUGUAGAGGUGAAAUUCGUAGAUAUCGGGAGGAACACCAGUGGCGAAGGCGGCGACCUGGACGGAUACUGACGCUGAGGUGCGAAAGCGUGGGGAGCAAACAGG